RNAcentral lists this ribosomal RNA (1450 nucleotides) under Serratia marcescens. RNAcentral's name for it is "bacterial LSU rRNA". It matches the Rfam family "Bacterial large subunit ribosomal RNA", at positions 1 to 1488 of the family's 2925-position model. The record is from RNAcentral. Lineage: Bacteria; Pseudomonadati; Pseudomonadota; Gammaproteobacteria; Enterobacterales; Yersiniaceae.
GGGUUGUGAGGUUAAGUGACUAAGCGUACACGGUGGAUGCCUAGGCAGUCAGAGGCGAUGAAGGGCGUGCUAAUCUGCGAAAAGCGUCGGUAAGGUGAUAUGAACCGUUACAACCGGCGAUACCCGAAUGGGGAAACCCAGUGUGUUUCGACACACUAUCAUGUCAUGAAUACAUAGUGGCAUGAGGCGAACCGGGGGAACUGAAACAUCUAAGUACCCCGAGGAAAAGAAAUCAACCGAGAUUCCCCCAGUAGCGGCGAGCGAACGGGGAGGAGCCCAGAACCUGAAUCGGCUUGUGUGUUAGUGGAAGCGUCUGGAAAGUCGCGCAGCAAAGGGUGAUAGCCCCGUACACUAAAAUGCACAGGUCGUGAGUUCGAUGAGUAGGGCGGGACACGUGACAUCCUGUCUGAAUAUGGGGGGACCAUCCUCCAAGGCUAAAUACUCCUGACUGACCGAUAGUGAACCAGUACCGUGAGGGAAAGGCGAAAAGAACCCCGGCGAGGGGAGUGAAAUAGAACCUGAAACCGUGUACGUACAAGCAGUGGGAGCACCUUCGUGGUGUGACUGCGUACCUUUUGUAUAAUGGGUCAGCGACUUAUAUUUUGUAGCAAGGUUAACCGUAUAGGGGAGCCGUAGGGAAACCGAGUCUUAACUGGGCGAAUAGUUGCAAGGUAUAGACCCGAAACCCGGUGAUCUAGCCAUGGGCAGGUUGAAGGUUGGGUAACACUAACUGGAGGACCGAACCGACUAAUGUUGAAAAAUUAGCGGAUGACUUGUGGCUGGGGGUGAAAGGCCAAUCAAACCGGGAGAUAGCUGGUUCUCCCCGAAAGCUAUUUAGGUAGCGCCUCGUGAACUCAUCUUCGGGGGUAGAGCACUGUUUCGGCUAGGGGGCCAUCCCGGCUUACCAAACCGAUGCAAACUCCGAAUACCGAAGAAUGUUAUCACGGGAGACACACGGCGGGUGCUAACGUCCGUCGUGAAGAGGGAAACAACCCAGACCGCCAGCUAAGGUCCCAAAGUCAUGGUUAAGUGGGAAACGAUGUGGGAAGGCAUAGACAGCCAGGAUGUUGGCUUAGAAGCAGCCAUCAUUUAAAGAAAGCGUAAUAGCUCACUGGUCGAGUCGGCCUGCGCGGAAGAUGUAACGGGGCUAAACCAUGCACCGAAGCUGCGGCAGCGACGCUUAGCGUUGUUGGGUAGGGGAGCGUUCUGUAAGCCGUUGAAGGUGGCCUGUGAGGGUUGCUGGAGGUAUCAGAAGUGCGAAUGCUGACAUAAGUAACGAUAAAGCGGGUGAAAAGCCCGCUCGCCGGAAGACCAAGGGUUCCUGUCCAACGUUAAUCGGGGCAGGGUGAGUCGACCCCUAAGGCGAGGCUGAAAAGCGUAGUCGAUGGGAAACAGGUUAAUAUUCCUGUACUUGGUGUUACUGCGAAGGGGGGACGGAGAAGGCUAGGCU